UGGCUCAGAUUGAACGCUGGCGGCAGGCCUAACACAUGCAAGUCGAACGGUAACAGGAAGCAGCUUGCUGCUUCGCUGACGAGUGGCGGACGGGUGAGUAAUGUCUGGGAAACUGCCUGAUGGAGGGGGAUAACUACUGGAAACGGUGGCUAAUACCGCAUAACGUCGCAAGACCAAAGAGGGGGACCUUCGGGCCUCUUGCCAUCAGAUGUGCCCAGAUGGGAUUAGCUUGUUGGUGAGGUAACGGCUCACCAAGGCGACGAUCCCUAGCUGGUCUGAGAGGAUGACCAGCCACACUGGAACUGAGACACGGUCCAGACUCCUACGGGAGGCAGCAGUGGGGAAUAUUGCACAAUGGGCGCAAGCCUGAUGCAGCCAUGCCGCGUGUAUGAAGAAGGCCUUCGGGUUGUAAAGUACUUUCAGCGGGGAGGAAGGUGUUGUGGUUAAUAACCGCAGCAAUUGACGUUACCCGCAGAAGAAGCACCGGCUAACUCCGUGCCAGCAGCCGCGGUAAUACGGAGGGUGCAAGCGUUAAUCGGAAUUACUGGGCGUAAAGCGCACGCAGGCGGUCUGUCAAGUCGGAUGUGAAAUCCCCGGGCUCAACCUGGGAACUGCAUUCGAAACUGGCAGGCUUGAGUCUUGUAGAGGGGGGUAGAAUUCCAGGUGUAGCGGUGAAAUGCGUAGAGAUCUGGAGGAAUACCGGUGGCGAAGGCGGCCCCCUGGACAAAGACUGACGCUCAGGUGCGAAAGCGUGGGGAGCAAACAGGAUUAGAUACCCUGGUAGUCCACGCCGUAAACGAUGUCUACUUGGAGGUUGUGCCCUUGAGGCGUGGCUUCCGGAGCUAACGCGUUAAGUAGACCGCCUGGGGAGUACGGCCGCAAGGUUAAAACUCAAAUGAAUUGACGGGGGCCCGCACAAGCGGUGGAGCAUGUGGUUUAAUUCGAUGCAACGCGAAGAACCUUACCUGGUCUUGACAUCCACAGAAGAAUCCAGAGAUGGAUUUGUGCCUUCGGGAACUGUGAGACAGGUGCUGCAUGGCUGUCGUCAGCUCGUGUUGUGAAAUGUUGGGUUAAGUUCCGCAACGAGCGCAACCCUUAUCCUUUGUUGCCAGCGAUUAGGUCGGGAAUUCAAAGGAGACUGCCAGUGAUAAACUGGAGGAAGGUGGGGAUGACGUCAAGUCAUCAUGGCCUUUACGACCAGGGUUACACACGUGCUACAAUGGCGCAUACAAAGAGAAGCGACCUCGCGAGAGCAAGCGGACCUCAUAAAGUGCGUCGUAGUCCGGAUUGGAGUCUGCAACUCGACUCCAUGAAGUCGGAAUCGCUAGUAAUCGUGGAUCAGAAUGCCACGGUGAAUACGUUCCCGGGCCUUGUACACACCGCCCGUCACACCAUGGGAGUGGGUUGCAAAAGAAGUAGGUAGCUUAACCUUCGGGAGGGCGCUUACCACUUUGUGAUUCAUGACUGGGGUGAAGUCGUAACAAGG
RNAcentral lists this ribosomal RNA (1486 nucleotides) under uncultured bacterium. RNAcentral's name for it is "16S ribosomal RNA". It matches the Rfam family "Bacterial small subunit ribosomal RNA". The record is from RNAcentral.